CGCACGGCUCCGACCGCGGCGCGCCGGCUCCUUCCGCCCGCGGCUCCUUCCGCGCCAAGUAGUGCGUCGGGCGACGGCUUCCGCAAACGCGGGCCCGCGGGGACCGCGCAACUGUCCCCAGCGGGCGAGCAGCGGCGUGAGGAGUUCUCAACUUCGGAGGGCCGCCCGGCGGGCCCUGUUUUCAGCUGCGGAGCCGCGGUGGGCCCGGCUGUCUCAAGCAGAGCCCGGGCAGAGGAGCGCCUGGGAGCAGUGGGAGAACGAGCGGCCGCCACAGGGCCGGGGAGGCAGGUGUCCCGGCGCCCGCCCCGCCCCGCCCCCAGCGCCAGCAGGAAGAGGAAGCCGCCGGGCCGGGCCCGCGGGCCACCCGCCGGGCCUCGCAGGGCGGGAGCGCCCUGGCUCGGGGAGGCGCGUGACCUAGUUCGCCCCAAAGUGGAUUUGACAGGUUGUCAGCACGGCUCCCCGCCCCCACCGCCUUCCGGGUCCCUCUCCCCAGGCGUCGGUCCCCACGGCCACCCGCGUCCCCGGCUCAGCCUCUCAUUGGCCCUUUCGCCGCCUGGCGCCCCGCCCCUACUCGAACUCGUGUUUCCAUUGGCCUCGAGCCGCCCGACGCCCCGCCUCCGCCUCUACUUCAACCCCAUUGGCCUUAAACCGGCCGGCGCCCCGCCCCUACCUCUGUCUGCCCCCCCCAUUGGCCUCAAGUCUACUGGCGCCCCGCCCCCUCCUCCACUCGGCCCCCCCCUCCAAUUUUGGCCUCGAGCCGCCCGGCGCCCCGCCCCGCCCCGUCCCGGGUCGCCCUCCCAUUGGCCUCCCGCCCGGCGCCCCACCCCCUCCCAGCGGCCCCUCCUGAGGAGGCAGCCCCCGCUGGCCUCUGGGCGCGACGUCCGUCCACGGUCCUCCGUGGCCGGCCUCCGUCGUCCUCCCGAGCCCUGCUCGGGUCCCUCGCCUCUUCUCCACUCCCAGCAUUCCCUACCUCCCCUCCGCCGCCCCGGGAGCCGAGCCCCGCGGCGCGCCCGCUCCGCUGCUCCGCCUACCCCUGGGGCUCCGCGCCCUGUGCUGCCCGCUCGCUCGCCUCCUGCCCCUUUCCACCUCUUGGCGUCACUCCGCUGCACCUUUCUCCCCGAAUUGGAGGCAGACAACGUCUUCCCCAGGUUUCCUCCCGGUGUCCAUCUGUCAGGUCUUCAGCGCGGGUCCCUUUCCCCGCCCCACUCUUCAAUUACGCCCCCUCCCUCCCAGCCCCGCCCCCCGCCCGCGAACCCGGCCCUGGGGGACCGUCCGGUGCUGCGGGGCGGAGGGCUGGCGCCGACGCGAUGA
This 1311-nucleotide long non-coding RNA is filed under the name Zalophus californianus (California sea lion). RNAcentral's name for it is "lncRNA (ENSZCAG00015021689.1)". The record is from RNAcentral. Lineage: Eukaryota; Metazoa; Chordata; Mammalia; Carnivora; Otariidae.